UGAAUGCAUUUUUUAAUACUACUUCAAAAAUUUUGACUAUCGAGACAAUCAAAUGACUGCUAACGAGAAAUCAUUAUUUUUUGAACAAUACUUGAAGUUACUACGUGAGUUUUAAAACACUCGGAAGUCUUGUCUAAAAUUUGGUUACAACGAUGGUUAAGCUAUUUUUUACAUUGUUUGCGCUGUUGAUAUUUGGUGUCAAUCGAUUUUAUUCUUUACCUAACAACAUUAAAGAAAAGGAGGUAUGUGAACUAAAAGAAGUUGAAAUGGAAGUCUCACAACCCGGUUGUGUUACUAAAAAAAUAAAAAACAACGAAUGUCAAGGAAUGUGCAGCUCUUUUUUUGUAUAUAGUUCAUUAGAACCAAAGCAAUACGGAUGUCGGAUUUGCAAACCAAAUCGAAAAAUGAUUGAAGUAGUCUUAGAUUGCAAAGAUGAAGCAGGAAACGAACUACGUAAAACUGUAACAAACGUGCCGUAUUUUGAAAGCUGUUCUUGCCAAAAAUGCAUUGAGAAAACUAACUAAUUUUAAAAAAUAAAUAAGUUCUGAAAAACGACAAAUUAAGUUCUAGUACGUUGAUUGAUAUCUUUAUAAAAUGAUUCAUGCAAACUUUACUACAAUAAGAAUAGGUAAAAACAA
Molecule: long non-coding RNA, 638 nt
Organism: Hydra vulgaris (swiftwater hydra)
Lineage: Eukaryota; Metazoa; Cnidaria; Hydrozoa; Anthoathecata; Hydridae
Source: RefSeq, a predicted model, not a curated record